Non-coding RNA from Neolamprologus brichardi, 2374 nucleotides. NCBI's taxonomy places the organism in Eukaryota, Metazoa, Chordata, Actinopteri, Cichliformes, Cichlidae. The record is from RefSeq and is a predicted model, not a curated record.
GGCUUGGAGAUGGCAGCGAAUUUUUGUUCCAGUGUAAAGACGAGGAAGAGCUCCAGCGUUGGAGCCAGGCCAUGGAAAAGGCCGUUCAGCCCCUGGCAGCAGAGGAGGCAUCGGGGCCCUCGGGGGCCAAAGCCCAGAGCCUGCCCCCUCCCUCCUCCUCAGCUGCACUCCCUGAGCCCAGCUCUGCCAAGAAAGACAAGGAGAAGAAGUUUAGCCGCUUUGCCAAGAAGAAGUGAAAGAGACGGGAAGGCCAUCAGGAGGAGGGGGUUGUCUAGGCAACCUGGGAAGAGAAAGUAUUGUGUACAAUCAAUCAAAGUAUGCUUUUUGUCACUAGAUUUUCUAUAUUAUUUUGUGAGAAUUACCAUAAAUAUUGUAGUUAAAGUCAUCACUCUUUUGCCUGUAUUUAAGUCAGUGUAUGUCUACAAUGGUCCACUGUUUUUGUUUGUUCUUUUUAAGAAAUGCCAAAUUCAAAGCAUUAAAUUAAAGCACAGGAAUGCUCCUCUUCACACACAACCAAAGAAUGUUUGUAAAACUUUUCAUUUUGAUAAUUUAGCUGAAGUUUUUUUGUCUUUUUUUUUUGUUUCACUAAGGCAUGCUUUGAUAUAGCCAUGUAUAACAUGAAGGCCUGUAAUGAAGAUGACUCAAGAGUACUGAAAAGUACUUUUAAUAACCUGCCUUAUCAAAUGGUUGUGAACUGUAAUACUGUGCUGUUUGAAUUUGGAGCACUAAAUGCUACGUAAAGAACCAGAGUUUAAUAAUCUUUUUUUUUUUUUUAAAGAGCUUUGUAAAUGGCAUGUAAGAUUUGGGGAUGAGAAAACCUCAGCAUAGUGCUGUACAGUAUAUACACACACACUCUCCAAGUAUAUCUGCAGUUAUGCAAACUAAAUGCUCUAUGCACUGUGAAUGAUUGACUUGAGAUUUUAAAUUGCUUACCAACAUUGCACGAGCGGUCAUGUGACACCACAAUGUGUCAGUUUUGAAUAAGGACCCAUUCAGGUUUAUUCUCAAUUGAACUGUGGCAGUGUUCAUGUCUGUCAGCUUGAAAUCUAUUUAACACUUGUGUAAACUUAAAUUUCAGAGCUAUCCAUCAACAUAUACCGUAUAUACAUAUAUAUAUAUAUAUGCAGAUGCAUGAAGUAUGCUUUACAUUAGUUUGAUACGGUGCUAUUGUCAUAUUCUUAAAACUUCAAACAAGACCAACUUGACCUGCCUUGUUUGUCUUCAACUUUGGCUUGUAGUGACACACGUAAAAAGUCUGAGGGGUGCUUCAUAAAGGUGGCUCAGAAAAGCAGUGGUUAUUCAGGUUUAUAUGCAUCAAGUAUUAAUAGCAUUUACAGUCACAGAUCAUCUUAAUUACCCUUUUAAAAUGCACAAAAAAAAAGCAGAAAUAAGCACAAUCACUGCCAUGUACAAAAGACAGCUUUUGUUAUGGAGUUGUAGGUCAGUGAUGAGCUCAGACUCACAAAAUAGGGAUCAAAUCUGCAACACUGAACUGUUCAUUUGGAGUUCUUUACCUGUAAUUAUGACUUCACGGGUUCCCGUGAGAGUAGUUUUUCUUUGUGCAGUUAAAGCUAAAACUUCAAGUGCAGUUGAAGUUUUAUUGUAACGAAAUAUAAAAAGCAAGUGUUUUUUUUUUAGAAAUCAGAACUUCUCCAUCUUUGAAUUUUACUACUUGGUUUGUGAAAACAUGAUACUGGAUAAAUGCCUUCAGGUGUGUACUUUUUAAUUACAGAAACAUGCUGACCCAAAUAAGGCUAAAUAAAAAAUAUGGGUCAAGAAGACAAAAGCACAAGCCAAGUAUUUAAUCUGACAAAUGGGUCACGAUCAAAGACAAAGUACAGGGGGUAAAUGACUACACAGAGGUGCAAAACAACUAUGAAAAUAAAAGACCAUGCAGCAGCACAACAUGAUGGGAGGUUAGGGGCUUUUUACAUGUACUGUAUUUGCCCCAGAACCCCCGUUAUGUGUUCAUGCCCAGCAGUCCUUGCUUUAUGAAACACCCCUCUAGUCUUGCAAGUUGAAUUUUAUUUAUUACACAAAUAGAAAUGCUAAAAGACGACAAAAUGUUAGCAUCAGAAUGAACUAGAAUUUAAAUCAGGUGCUGUUAUUCACAAAAGCAGUUUACAAGAGCCUGCAUCAUUAUUUGAAGUUUUAUAGAACUAGCCAAAGUCUAGAAAAGCAAAGGGUUGCAUGAGCCUUUCCUGCUUUUCCACACCACACAACAGGACCAGGCAUGCUCCCCAACCAAGGAGAGGAUCGUACAGUAGCCGUACGGAGCUGAAGGAAUGUGUUUUUAAUAUGAAUGUAAGGAGUGGAAAUAAGUUCAUAUGGGAAUUUCCAACAAUAAAGCCAUUACAGAAAUCAGCAUUUUAAU